UACGGGGGGAGCAAGCGUUGUUCGGAUUUACUGGGCGUAAAGGGCGUGUAGGCGGCCUUGUAAGUCGGGGGUGAAAUCCACUGGCUCAACCAGUGACGUGCCUUCGAAACUGCUUGGCUUGAGUAUGGCAGAGGAGAGCGGAAUUCCAGGUGUAGCGGUGAAAUGCGUAGAUAUCUGGAGGAACACCGGUGGCGAAGGCGGCAUCCUGGACCGGUAUUGACGCUGAGGCGCGAAAGCCAGGGGAGCAAACGGG
RNAcentral lists this ribosomal RNA (253 nucleotides) under uncultured prokaryote. Its description in RNAcentral is "partial 16S ribosomal RNA". It matches the Rfam family "Bacterial small subunit ribosomal RNA", at positions 524 to 776 of the family's 1533-position model. The record is from RNAcentral.